RNAcentral lists this transfer-messenger RNA (414 nucleotides) under Candidatus Saccharimonadota bacterium. It matches the Rfam family "transfer-messenger RNA". Rfam says of the family: Bacterial tmRNA, also known as 10Sa RNA or SsrA, is named for its dual tRNA and mRNA-like properties. Lineage: Bacteria; Candidatus Saccharimonadota. RNAcentral also lists the same sequence under 1 other name. The record is from RNAcentral.
GGGGCUGAAUUUUAAGCUCGACGUUGGACUUUAACAAACUCAUAUGGCAGGCCGGAUUGAUCUGCACGUUAGCCGGAUCAAACAAGUAGUUGCAAGAAAUUCAACACUUAGCGAAGAACUAGUUGCUAGCCUAAAGGAAACUUUUGGUAUUCGUAGCGAACAAUUCGCACUAGCAGCCUAAUUAUUUAGACUGCCGUUACUAGUUCGACAUCAGAUAGAACUUUUUAGCGCUAUAUUUUUCUGAUUGCUAUGCAAUUAGUUGCCCCUAAUUGUAUCUAAGACUAAGGGCUGCAGCCAUUUAACGUUUUGUUUAUCUAUAGUCAUUUGGCUAAAGAAACAUCUAGAUAAACUAAGCCUGUAGUCAUUGAGUAAGUUAACUGACGGACGCGAGGGUAGUACUCGCCAGCUCCACCA